AAAAAUUAUAAGAGCCAUAAGAGUUUAAGAAAAACCCAAUUCACUAGACUAGACUCAUAGAGUUUAAGAAAAGCUUCUCCUUAAGAACAAGAGCCAAAGAAAAGAAAAAGAAACAUUGAUCCAAGAAAAAAUCGAAAUAUGCCUUUAGUGCAAAAGGGUAGACUUAGGAUCAUCAUUGGGUUUAGAUAUAGGACCAUCUACUUGUUAUUCAUGGUUUAUGUCAUUGGGUAGAAGGGGUGCUAUUCUUGUAUGCAUAGGUUGGCACUUACCUUUAGCAUUCUUCUAAAGCUCAGUCCUUUUUCAUUGAGAGUCCCCUGCUAUUAAAAUCUGAACCACUAAAAAUGGACCAUCUUUGUCUCAUAACCUGUCAUUAGCCAAAUGAGUUCACUAGCGAUGCAUAUCUUGUU
RNAcentral lists this small RNA (407 nucleotides) under Arabidopsis thaliana (thale cress). RNAcentral's name for it is "ATSL206040". Lineage: Eukaryota; Viridiplantae; Streptophyta; Magnoliopsida; Brassicales; Brassicaceae. The record is from RNAcentral.